This 253-nucleotide ribosomal RNA is filed under the name uncultured bacterium. RNAcentral's name for it is "partial 16S ribosomal RNA". It matches the Rfam family "Bacterial small subunit ribosomal RNA", at positions 524 to 776 of the family's 1533-position model. The record is from RNAcentral.
UACGUAGGGGCCUAGCGUUGUCCGGAUUUAUUGGGCGUAAAGAGCUCGUAGGCGGUUUGUCGCGUCUGCUGUGAAAACUCGGGGCUUAACCCCGGGCCUGCAGUGGGUACGGGCAGACUAGAGUGCGGUAGGGGAGACUGGAAUUCCUGGUGUAGCGGUGAAAUGCGCAGAUAUCAGGAGGAACACCGGUGGCGAAGGCGGGUCUCUGGGCCGUAACUGACGCUGAGGAGCGAAAGCGUGGGGAGCGAACAGG